This 496-nucleotide ribosomal RNA is filed under the name uncultured bacterium. RNAcentral's name for it is "partial 16S ribosomal RNA". It matches the Rfam family "Bacterial small subunit ribosomal RNA", at positions 29 to 507 of the family's 1533-position model. The record is from RNAcentral.
AUGAACGCUGGCGGCGUGCCUAAUACCUGCCAGUCGAGCGAACGGACGAGAAGCUUGCUUCUCUGAUGUUAGCGGCGGACGGGUGAGUAACACGUGGAUAACCUACCUAUAAGACUGGGAUAACUUCGGGAAACCGGAGCUAAUACCGGAUAAUAUUUUGAACCGCAUGGUUCCAAAGUGAAAGACGGUCUUGCUGUCACUUAUAGAUGGAUCCGCGCUGCAUUAGCUAGUUGGUAAGGUAACGGCUUACCAAGGCAACGAUGCAUAGCCGACCUGAGAGGGUGAUCGGCCACACUGGAACUGAGACACGGUCCAGACUCCUACGGGAGGCAGCAGUAGGGAAUCUUCCGCAAUGGGCGAAAGCCUGACGGAGCAACGCCGCGUGAGUGAUGAAGGUCUUCGGAUCGUAAAACUCUGUUAUUAGGGAAGAACAUAUGUGUAAGUAACUGUGCACAUCUUGACGGUACCUAAUCAGAAAGCCACGGCUAACUACGUG